UACGAAGGGGGCUAGCGUUGCUCGGAAUCACUGGGCGUAAAGCGCACGUAGGCGGCUUUUUAAGUCAGGGGUGAAAUCCUGGAGCUCAACUCCAGAACUGCCUUUGAUACUGAGAAGCUUGAGUCCGGGAGAGGUGAGUGGAACUGCGAGUGUAGAGGUGAAAUUCGUAGAUAUUCGGAAGAACACCAGUGGCGAAGGCGGCUCACUGGCCCAAUACUGACGCUGAGGCACGAAAGCGUGGGGAGCAAACAGG
Molecule: ribosomal RNA, 253 nt
Filed under: uncultured bacterium
Lineage: Bacteria
Description: partial 16S ribosomal RNA
Rfam family: Bacterial small subunit ribosomal RNA
Source: RNAcentral